UUUUUGAAUCAAGUAAUCAGUGGGGCACAAGAUAGACAGUAGAAAGGGCAUUUGUAUCUAGAAUGUCCGGCAUGCGGUUGUUUUGAUAUUUAUGAAGAAGUAGACAAGUCCGGUUGCAAAAACUAAAUUCUUGAUUAUAUUGUUCCACGAAGCCGUCGUGUUGGUUCACGAUGAAAUUAUCGGGUCUGGUCUACUUUGAUUUCCCAAUAUGAAAAGCGUAUGAUAGCAGCUGCUAACGCUACAUUGUUUGAUUUUACUUUCUUAUGGACAAAAAUGUUUUAUUCACGAUAUGUUUAUACGAAUGAUGAUAUAGUUGGCUGCAUAUCGGAAUCCCGAUGGUAAAAAGGCUUGAUAAUAGACGCAAUCUCCUCUUUUUGGUCUGUGCUGAUGUUUUAUUUAUUGUACCCUCUUAUUUUUGUACUUUAUGACAACUAAAUUUAUAUAGAUAUCUUGAUACAGUUGUCAGAACAUUAUUCGAGUCAUUAUAUACCUGUAUGCAAUUCGCUGUAUUUUAUCUCUCAAUAUUUGCAGAAAAGUAGAAUUAUAACAUUACCAUAUUUUAAACUAAAAUACAUAUUUACUUUGACCAAAGCACAAUGCCGUGAUUCGGUAGUUACCAAAUAAAAAAGUUGUCACAAACUAACUUUUGUUCAUCAAAUGCUGCAUUUUGUACCAUAUGGUUUCCAAAAAGAAGAUGAAACUUGAUGAAACGAAGUUGAACGAAGUUGAAACAAACAAAACAUCUGAAGGUACAGUUUCAAUUCUAUAUUGGUAUGACGUUCUCAAAUUCUUCAAAUAUCGAAGAGCAAUCACUGCUUAAAAGAAUACAGUGCUUGCAUAACGUAAAAGCAACUAAGGUUAUUGAUUAUAAAACUUUUUCUUAUUUGUAAAGCAGAAUUUAUUUGCAGAUAACAAGUUUUCUUUUGGUAACAGUAAUCUGUCUCUUUUUCCUCCAAUUCUUGAGUUCCAAGAAUAAAAAAUGUAAAUAUAGAUUCA
Long non-coding RNA from Styela clava, 996 nucleotides. RefSeq lists it as uncharacterized. NCBI's taxonomy places the organism in Eukaryota, Metazoa, Chordata, Ascidiacea, Stolidobranchia, Styelidae. The record is from RefSeq and is a predicted model, not a curated record.